This 253-nucleotide ribosomal RNA is filed under the name uncultured bacterium. RNAcentral describes it as "partial 16S ribosomal RNA". It matches the Rfam family "Bacterial small subunit ribosomal RNA", at positions 524 to 776 of the family's 1533-position model. The record is from RNAcentral.
UACGAAGGGGGCUAGCGUUGCUCGGAAUCACUGGGCGUAAAGGGUGCGUAGGCGGGGCUUUAAGUCAGGGGGGAAAUCCUGGAGCUCAACUCCAGAACUGCCUUUGAUACUGGGAGGCUCGAGUCCGGGAGAGGUGAGUGGAACUGCGAGUGUAGAGGUGAAAUUCGUAGAUAUUCGCAAGAACACCAGUGGCGAAGGCGGCUCACUGGCCCGGUACUGACGCUGAGGUGCGAAAGCGCGGGGAGCAAACAGG